Tachyglossus aculeatus (Australian echidna) is the source of this 138-nucleotide small nucleolar RNA. The record is from RefSeq and is a predicted model, not a curated record. NCBI's taxonomy places the organism in Eukaryota, Metazoa, Chordata, Mammalia, Monotremata, Tachyglossidae.
CCCCUCUCAGGGUGGCAGCUGGAGAGUUUCCAGUACUCUACCAGCCUCGGCUACGGGAGGGAGAGUCAAGCAGAGGCCUGUCCGUUCCAUUCCUAGCUUGGGCAGUGGCUAGCGAGUGGCAGGCCAUCGGCUACAAGU